GUAGCUCAGCAGUCUCACGGCCUCCUUUCCUGGAGCCCUGUCUCAAUUCCCAGGGUGCAUCCUUCCAGCUUCCCUUGAGCAGAGCACUACUCGCUCCCUCAGCCGGCGUUUACUGAACCGGAGCCGCCCCCUUUAAACCAAAACAGAGCCGAGGAUACACUCCUGGAAUAUCUCGACAUGCUCAACAUCCCCCUCUCCUCAUGACAGGAUCAACAACGCUGCGGCGGCUGGAGGCGGAUUCGCCCCGUCGCACGCCGGGAGGAGAGGGGGACGAGGGAAGGGGCCACAGGCGACAGUGUCACGUCUUUGAGGUGCGUUGGCCCUGCUUGUGUUGUGGUGCCCUAAGCGUUGUGCCCACAUGCAGCUGUCAUUAGCACGUCUCUGAACGCCAGUGAGUGAGGCUGAACGAGGCCGUGGCGCGUGGGAGCCCGACGCGCCGCCGCUCGCGGGGCCGCGCGUCUCCAGCGGUGCGACGCCUCAGGACAAUGGGACUGCGAGAGGAACAGCACCGAACAACAGCGCAGCGUGACGCCGUUUCCUUCCUCUGACCCACAGCAUUUUUCAGGUGCAGCACAGCAGCAAUUCUCGGCCUUUAAGUCAACACACAAACUCCGACAUGUUCUAAUCUGGACUCGACGGCUGCGUGGAGACGAAGCGGGAGGAAUGGAAAUAAAGAUUUGGGAUAUGAUAGUUUUUUUGUUGACGUUUUGAAUCACAAAAAAGGUUGUGUAGCCAAGAAACGUCAAAACGCUAAUUUUAGAACAACAUUUCUCAGAUACGAAUUUUGAAUUUAAAAUAUAAUUUGACUUUAUUUCGUUUUGUUUGUCACAUGUAUUAAAAAUAAAGAUGAGAAUCAAGAGACUGAAAACGAAUUUGAAAUUAAGAAGCUCAGAGAUAAUUAAGGCCAAUAUUAAUGUUUUCCGUCCACACGUUUCCUUCUUGCUGCACAUUCUAACCUCCCGCCCUUCAUAAUAAAACUAGGCGGCGGAAGCCACUUCUUGACGGAGUCUUGUUUGAGGCUUUUAACCCGCACCUGGAGACGCUGGGUUCAGAUUAAGACGUCGCUCCAGUUUGUGGGGCUGAAGAAGCGUGGAGGCGAACUUUAAAGACGCCCCGCGCUCGUGGAGCGGGUCUUUGCGCAUUCCUUUCCACGUCUUCAAAUCAAGACACGACAUACAAACAAAUCCUGUAAAACGGUGCGUGUUUAGAGAAAGACGGACAGUGGUCGCGAACUGAACCGGGUCAAAGUCCGACUGCGUAACGAAACUUCUCCGAACUCACCUCCUCCUCGAUGGAAACGUUGUUGUUCGGCUCCGCGUCCGCUUUCAGGCUCAUUGUGACGGCGGCUUCGGCUGCUGCGGCGCAAACUAUCAGGUUUUUCUUCGUCGUGUGAUAUUUCCCCCAAGUGCGUCUGAAGCUGCAGUGAAGGUCCUGGUGGCGUCUGAGCUUCAGGACAGAAGAUGUGCCGAGGUGCGCUCGUGCGGACGAUGACGGCGAGGUAUCCGAAGAUAUUAGAGUAGUGUUGCGAGAGAGAAUCAUUCAUAAAAAGGAUGAAAGGGAAAGAAAAGAAACAGAGACACGCACUAAACUAAAGGUGAGAGGGUGGAUUUGUGCUCCGUGUGUGAAGGUGAGAGAUGGGGGGGAAGAAGUGCGCGUAAAAACAGAAAGCCUCUGCGCUCACAUCAAUGCCCUCAGCUGCGGGACAGUGCGGAGGAGGAAGAACAAGUAAACUUUUCUCACUGGAACGCGUCUCUCUCUCCUCCGCUCCGCGAGCGAACCCCCUCCUCCCGCUCGCCCGCCGCCGCCGCCUCCCGCUGGUUUUCAAUUAGGUCAUCAAUUAUGUCGGAGUCCGCUGCGAGCCGUAAUCAGGCGGCAGAUCCGCCUCAGCUGUUGCAGGAGGACCCGAACCCUGCGUUUCUGCGGGACCCGGAAGGCCGGCGGUGAUUUACCGCACAACGCUCAACUUUACGGUUUAGUUCGAGCUGGAGCACAAAUGCACGAAUGUGCCUUGGACUUUCCGGAGGUUAUAAUAAGUAGUUUAAUAUUUAUUUUAGACCAAAUCUUCUACUUACAGGCCUAUUUUGAAUAAAGGUUUAUUUUAUAUUUUAUUUUUCUGUUCGUUGAAUUGAGUCUUUUAUAUAUUAUCAUAUUUUCUGCGAUCAGAUCGCAUGUUUAACCUGCGAAUUAAUUGGCAUUAUCAUUUAAUAAAGCGGAUGAAAAGUGAGCAAAAUAAUAUGUUUUGUUAUUUGUAUUUGGCCUUUGUAUCAAUAUAUAAAAAUAUUCUACAUAAUAUGAUACCAUAAAAAUAAAGCCUAUACAGAGUCACUUUAUCAGAA
Molecule: long non-coding RNA, 2336 nt
Organism: Betta splendens (Siamese fighting fish)
Lineage: Eukaryota; Metazoa; Chordata; Actinopteri; Anabantiformes; Osphronemidae
Exons: 2
Source: RefSeq, a predicted model, not a curated record